CCCCUAGAUGUUCUGGGCCGCACGCGCGCUACACUGAACAGUUCAACAAGUCUUAACCUUGGCCGAUAGGUCUGGGUAAUCUUUGAACGCUGUUCGUGAUUGGGAUAGACCUUUGCAAUUAUGGGUCUUCAACGAGGAAUUCCUAGUAAACGCAAGUCAUCAGCUUGCAUUGAUUACGUCCCUGCCCUUUGUACACACCGCCCCUCGCACCUACCGAUUGAAUGGUCCGGUGAAAUCUCGGGACGGCGGCUCGGUCGCUUGCGUCCGACUGCUGAAACUUGAUUAAACCAUAUCAUUUAGAGGAAGGUGAAGUCGUAACA
RNAcentral lists this ribosomal RNA (320 nucleotides) under uncultured eukaryote. Its description in RNAcentral is "partial 18S ribosomal RNA". It matches the Rfam family "Eukaryotic small subunit ribosomal RNA", at positions 1470 to 1796 of the family's 1831-position model. The record is from RNAcentral.